AUGCUCACUUUGGCAUCAUAUAUACAAAAAUUGGAUCAUUAGGGAAAAGAUGAGCAUGGCAUCUGUGUAAGAAUGACACACAAAUUCAGGAAGUGUUCCAUAUUUUU
Molecule: small nuclear RNA, 107 nt
Organism: Jaculus jaculus (lesser Egyptian jerboa)
Lineage: Eukaryota; Metazoa; Chordata; Mammalia; Rodentia; Dipodidae
Source: Ensembl